GGGCAUGUGGCGGAAUUGGCAGACGCAUACGACUCAAAAUCGUACGAGCUUACGCUCAUGAGGGUUCAACUCCCUCCUUGCCCACCA
RNAcentral lists this transfer RNA (87 nucleotides) under Patescibacteria group bacterium. RNAcentral describes it as "tRNA-Leu". It matches the Rfam family "tRNA". From Rfam's summary of the family: Transfer RNA (tRNA) molecules are approximately 80 nucleotides in length. Their secondary structure includes four short double-helical elements and three loops (D, anti-codon, and T loops). The record is from RNAcentral.